UACGAAGGGGGCUAGCGUUGUUCGGAAUCACUGGGCGUAAAGCGCACGUAGGCGGAUCUUUAAGUCAGGGGUGAAAUCCCGGGACUCAACCUCGGAACUGCCUUUGAUACAGCAAGUCUUGAGUUCGAGAGAGGUGGGUGGAAUUCCUAGUGUAGAGGUGAAAUUCGUAGAUAUUAGGAAGAACACCGGUGGCGAAGGCGGCCCACUGGCUCGAUACUGACGCUGAGGUGCGAAAGCGUGGGGAGCGAACAGG
This 253-nucleotide ribosomal RNA is filed under the name uncultured bacterium. Its description in RNAcentral is "partial 16S ribosomal RNA". It matches the Rfam family "Bacterial small subunit ribosomal RNA", at positions 524 to 776 of the family's 1533-position model. The record is from RNAcentral.